Molecule: ribosomal RNA, 438 nt
Filed under: uncultured bacterium
Lineage: Bacteria
Description: bacterial SSU rRNA
Rfam family: Bacterial small subunit ribosomal RNA
Source: RNAcentral
AUACGGGAGGCAGCAGUGGGGAAUAUUGGACAAUGGGCGCAAGCCUGAUCCAGCCAUGCCGCGUGGGUGAUGAAGGCCCUAGGGUUGUAAAGCCCUUUCAGCGGGGAAGAUAAUGACGGUACCCGCAGAAGAAGCCCCGGCUAACUUCGUGCCAGCAGCCGCGGUAAUACGAAGGGGGCUAGCGUUGCUCGGAAUUACUGGGCGUAAAGCGCACGUAGGCGGCUUUUCAAGUCGGAGGUGAAAUCCUGGAGCUCAACUCCAGAACUGCCUUCGAUACUGGAAAGCUCGAGUCCGGGAGAGGUGAGUGGAACUGCGAGUGUAGAGGUGAAAUUCGUAGAUAUUCGCAAGAACACCAGUGGCGAAGGCGGCUCACUGGCCCGGUACUGACGCUGAGGUGCGAAAGCGUGGGGAGCAAACAGGAUUAGAUACCCCGGUAGG